UAUUUUCAAGGGAUGAAUGGCAUUGUCU
RNAcentral lists this non-coding RNA (28 nucleotides) under Mus musculus (house mouse). Lineage: Eukaryota; Metazoa; Chordata; Mammalia; Rodentia; Muridae. The record is from RNAcentral.